GACGUAGGGCGCAAGCGUUGUCCGGAUUUAUUGGGCGUAAAGAGCUCGUAGGCGGUGUGUCACGUCGGCCGGUGAAAACCUCGCAGCUUAACUGUGGGCGUGCGGUCGGAUACGGGCAUCACUGGAGUUCGGGCAGAGGAGAGUGGAAUCCCGGUGUAGCGGUGAAAUGCGCAGAUAUCGGGCAAGAACACCCGUGGCGAAGGCGGCUCUCUGGGACGGUACUGACGGCUGAGACGCGAAAGCGUGGGGAGCGAACA
This 257-nucleotide ribosomal RNA is filed under the name uncultured bacterium. RNAcentral describes it as "partial 16S ribosomal RNA". It matches the Rfam family "Bacterial small subunit ribosomal RNA", at positions 524 to 774 of the family's 1533-position model. The record is from RNAcentral.